This 66-nucleotide transfer RNA is filed under the name Stegodyphus mimosarum. It matches the Rfam family "tRNA". From Rfam's summary of the family: Transfer RNA (tRNA) molecules are approximately 80 nucleotides in length. Their secondary structure includes four short double-helical elements and three loops (D, anti-codon, and T loops). Lineage: Eukaryota; Metazoa; Arthropoda; Arachnida; Araneae; Eresidae. The record is from Rfam by way of RNAcentral.
UCUCGUGGUGUAACGGUAGCACACUCGACCCGUAUUCGAGAUGUCCAGGUUCGAGCCCCGGCGAGA